AAUAACUCUAGACUCCUCCUUUAGCCUCAGUUUGCUGCUUCUCCGCAACAGCCUUUGAUAAUCCAAACAUAUAUCUUGAAAAACCAAAAUAUAUUACUAUUAACAAAGUCAUAAGUAGUGGUUCAGUGAUCAAGAUCUAUUAUGAGUUUAGUAAAUAAUGAAGAAAGAUAACCUUCUUAAUGGUUUUGUUGAAACAGUUCUUGUGAUCAUCCAUUUCUUAACCUCGUCUACAACUGCACAUU
Arabidopsis thaliana (thale cress) is the source of this 242-nucleotide long non-coding RNA. RefSeq annotates it as other RNA. NCBI's taxonomy places the organism in Eukaryota, Viridiplantae, Streptophyta, Magnoliopsida, Brassicales, Brassicaceae. The transcript has a single exon. The record is from RefSeq.